This 503-nucleotide long non-coding RNA is filed under the name Sinocyclocheilus grahami. RNAcentral's name for it is "lncRNA (ENSSGRG00000033404.1)". The record is from RNAcentral. Lineage: Eukaryota; Metazoa; Chordata; Actinopteri; Cypriniformes; Cyprinidae.
GUCUCACUUAUAUGGAAACUGUUUUCCUGGGCAUGACGGAAACUACUACAAUCUCGACAGUCUCUUCGAAAACUACAACUUCUGCAGUAGGUGAAUUAGCUUUGUUUGUGGUCACAAUGGCCACAACGGAAGCUGCCGAUUUAAAGGUGUAUGGUGUAUGAACGGAACUGUUUUCCAGUUGUUCAUGUUUAUCUAAGGAACAAGCAUACCAUUGAUCGUGCCGCUUCUAACAAGAUGAGACAAGCAGAUGAUGGACAAAGAGAUGAGGACAAGGUCUUGUGGUAGUCCCUAAAGACUGCAACUCUGCUGCAGAUACUGAUCUAUGUGCUCAUGCUGCUUAAUAUGGGAAUAUAAAUGUAAAAAAAUAAACAUUUAAGCAUUUGAAGAGGCUUCUGACAAAAUAUUGAAUAUUUUAUAUUUGUUGCAAUUGAAAAUGUGUUUUAUAGUCUGUAAUGUAAAUAUCACCAUAUUAAAUGAAUAAAAUAUUUUCACUAUGGUCAACA